This 73-nucleotide transfer RNA is filed under the name Candidatus Woesebacteria bacterium. Its description in RNAcentral is "tRNA-Met". It matches the Rfam family "tRNA". Rfam says of the family: Transfer RNA (tRNA) molecules are approximately 80 nucleotides in length. Their secondary structure includes four short double-helical elements and three loops (D, anti-codon, and T loops). Lineage: Bacteria; Candidatus Woeseibacteriota. The record is from RNAcentral.
GCCAAUGUAGCUCAGCGGUUAGAGCAGUCGUUUCAUAAGCGACAGGUCGUGGGUUCGAUCCCCACCAUUGGUA